UUGGCGGACGGGUGAGUAACGCGUGGGUAACCUGCCGUAUGCAGGGGGAUAACACUUAGAAAUAGGUGCUAACACCGCAUAAGCGCACGGAGACGCAUGUUUCUGUGUGAAAAACUCCGGUGGCAUACGAUGGACCCGCGUCUGAUUAGCCAGUUGGCAGGGUAACGGCCUACCAAAGCGACGAUCAGUAGCCGGCCUGAGAGGGCGGACGGCCACAUUGGGACUGAGACACGGCCCAAACUCCUACGGAAGGCAGCAG
Molecule: ribosomal RNA, 259 nt
Filed under: uncultured bacterium
Lineage: Bacteria
Description: partial 16S ribosomal RNA
Rfam family: Bacterial small subunit ribosomal RNA
Source: RNAcentral